RNAcentral lists this long non-coding RNA (1156 nucleotides) under Triticum aestivum (bread wheat). RNAcentral describes it as "long non-coding RNA (TAES_LNC011791)". Lineage: Eukaryota; Viridiplantae; Streptophyta; Magnoliopsida; Poales; Poaceae. The record is from RNAcentral.
AUAGGUCCUCUCUGUUAGUAGAUAAAUAUAAGGACCAAAAUGCAAAUAUGCCGAUUGGAUAAGGUUUCCCAAUCUCAUCUCUUGUGCGUGCGUGGUGGGCUGAUGGCCAUUCAGAGACCAUCGCCAUUGUUGACUACUUAGGGACAAUGCUCGCCGGCGUCUUGCCGCAUUCUCCUGCCACCGCUGCUGCGAGACUGAAGUCGUUCAGGAGGACGCCGAUGCGCCGUGUGCCGGCUAUGCGCCCUUGCCUGUAGGGGACGCGUACAACUACGUGGUGGAUGUGCGCCGUGGCCGGGCUGCGCGCCGGCUGUGCGCCGAGUGGUGGAGGACGCCAUCGUCGCCAAAUGCCGAGGUACGCAUGGCGGGGCUUCUUCCCUUGUUUCCUCUGGAUGUUUUGUUGAUGGUAGUUGCGAUGGACGACGAGAUUGUCAUAGUGGAUGAUGGAGAAGGGGAAAAAAUGUGAACAACAAGUCUGUUGGAGUUUGUUCCUCAUCUUCUAAUCUUGUUCUUGAUGUUGAUUCUUCUUCUUGAUUGAGGAUUUCUUCCUCUUUAUGUUAGAGUAGCGAUCAAUCCAUCUCACUACGAGCAUACGCCGGGUGAAGCGAUUUAUAAAACAGAAGAGUUGUUAGAUCUGUGAUUGAUUGCAAUAAGACAAAAACAAAUUGAAGAAUCUCCUGAUCCAAUUUUCCUCUUUUACAGAAGCAUGUCCAUUGAUUCCUGCCAUGGAAGGGUUGUGGUUGAUCGAAUCGGCAGCGAUUGAAAUUCUCCUAUGCUGAAGCCGUGCGUGCUGGAUGGAGUCGACAUCGCGAGUACAGGGGCAGACGUUGGUGCCGCCGUGACUAAUGUCGCCAUCCGCGCCAAGACUCGAUGUUGCAGUCCAGCGUGCGAGAUAACGCCGGUAACAUUGGGAAUCGCGCGAGGCGUCGAGGAGGUCUGGCCUAAUCGCUGUUAGGGCAAGGUGUUGAUAACGUGUAAAGAUGAAAAAGAGAGAGAGAAACGAAUGGAUUGAACAGUGAUUGCAUUGACCGAAGAAUAGGAUAUUUAUACGCAUGUACAGAGGCGGUAAUUAAAUAGUCGGUAACUGGCGGUUGCUAAACUAAACAACCGACCUAAGCAUUGAUUAUUAGGAUUUAAUUAAUCCUUAACAAAGACGACG